UCUGCUUGACGAUAGACUAUGCCUCCUAGUAACCUGAGGCGAACCCAGCAUACGCUCAGCCGGCCUGCUGCCUGCUGGCCUCCCCAGCCAAACACGUGGCCAACACCAUUCAUCAACUGGAGAAUUUCACCCAAUGACAAUCUUUCUCCACACGGCAUUCCAGGCACUACUACUAAUCCAGCAACUUUGAAUAGUGAAAUUAGACACUAUAAUAAAUACUGUAAUAAAAUUUAUAUUAAUAUGGUCUCUGUCUCUCUCUGUUUCUCAAAAUAUCUUAAUGUACUGUACUUAACCUAUUUUUGGACCACAGUUGAGGUAACAGAAACUUGGGAAACAUUAGACUCUCAUAAGGAGCAUGCACCCUAGAUCCCUCACAUGCACAGUUCACAGUAGGAUUCGCACUCCUAUGAGAAUCUAAUGGGGCAG
RNAcentral lists this long non-coding RNA (426 nucleotides) under Pan troglodytes (chimpanzee). Its description in RNAcentral is "long non-coding RNA NONPTRT016103". The record is from RNAcentral. Lineage: Eukaryota; Metazoa; Chordata; Mammalia; Primates; Hominidae.